UCCCUGGUGAUUCAGUGGUAAGGACUCGGCGCUUGCACUGCUGAGGGUCCAGGUGCAAUCCCUAGUCAGGGAA
This 73-nucleotide transfer RNA is filed under the name Ovis aries (sheep). It matches the Rfam family "tRNA". Rfam says of the family: Transfer RNA (tRNA) molecules are approximately 80 nucleotides in length. Their secondary structure includes four short double-helical elements and three loops (D, anti-codon, and T loops). The record is from Rfam by way of RNAcentral. Lineage: Eukaryota; Metazoa; Chordata; Mammalia; Artiodactyla; Bovidae.